CUUGCUAUUAUUUUUGCGUAAUUUCAUACCAACGAUCAGUUGUUUAAAUUAUUAACCAAUCAAGAAAAAAAAUAAAGAUCUUCAAACAUAUUUUUUCGCAUUCACGUGGCAUUUUUCCAGUUAGUGGUUUCCAGUUAGGCGGUUAGAACGGUCGGUUUCUGCAAAAACAACGUCCACUCUCUUUGCAUCUUCGUUCGCGGUUGGAAAAUUAGACCAACAAACACAGUGUAUUUUCAAUUUUUCCUCGCACUUUCCUCCGACUCUUAGCCUAAAGCCUUGCAAAGUCGAUCGACGAACGGAGUUUCGAAAUGUUCAGGAUCACGUUCGUACGUGUUUCGCGAAUCGUUCAGACUUCCGGCUAUCACGCCGUACAUAUAUGGAAGGCAAUCUUCUCGAAGAAUCGUUCGGAAAAGUUGCUUCUGUUGCAAAGGACGUCGCUCUAUUUGUGGUCAUUCCUCUUGCGGUCGCGGAAAACUGGUAGCGGUUGUGGUUAAGCGGACGAUUUGACGGAUACUGCGAGACAAUGUUAUUCGCAGCGGCUUCGCUUGUGGUCAUGAGAUUAGUGUGCAACUUACACACAGGUUUUGGAAUUGUUUCUCUUCGGAUUGACUUUAUGCGGGUAGAUUUAGUUUCGUCGGGAAUCAGCCUAAGUGACUCGUAGAUUGCCAGUGUCGGUGGCAUUCGUGGGUUUCGAGGUGCGUUUCGUGUGCCAAACGUUCAAGUACAUUUUUCUUCUCGAUUAUUUCGUUCCACGUACAAACAUUUCGACUUUGUAGUUACGUAUAAUUCCACUAAAUAUGGAAUUCUACUAAAUUCAGAUUGAUUUAGUCGAUUGUUAGUUGUUGUUAAUGAGUGUUAGUUGAUGUUAGUUGUUGAUAGUCAGAUUGUUAUUAGCCGAAAUAAAAAUUUGGAGAUUAUUCCGCAUUUGUGCUGCUUCAAUGUACAUGUAUGCAUUUUGUAGAGCUUCGGCGUAUUUAAAAGUCGUCUUUCUAUUAUACAAGAAAAGAUAGAGAUCACAGAGAUCAAAUUUAGUUCGGUUUGGAGAACACUGUGGCGGAAGAUAAAUUUUAAUGGAAAAUCCUGUACGCAAUUCACAAAAUCCUCUAUAUAAAUACGAACCUUAGGUAUCAUUUCCUAUACAUUUAUCUCGUAAGGGCGGGGGAAAGUCUUUCGUAUCACUUUUUUCCCACGAAGUCUAUCGUGUCAUUUCCAAACGAUAUUCUACGUGGAAUAGAAAUUUCGCAGAUUGAUAGCGAAUGUCCCUUCUUUCUCCAGUUUCCUUCUCCUUUGCUCACGCUAUUAUUCAGUAGUUAUAAAUCUUCUUCAAACACUGACAUCCUCUGCCAACUUCCUUUGCACGCACCUGCCUCGAUCUACCCAAGAUUUAUCACCGCGCCUAUCACUGUUUCAACCACUAACAGCCUUUCACGACGGCAAAUUACCCUAAUCUGAUCCACAUUCGCAAGUGGAACAUCGGCGACCAGCAACGAAAAGUCUAUCGUUCGAAUCCUCGAACAUAGCAAAUUUUAUCUCGCGCGUAAUGGAACCGGUCCGUUUUAUCGGUUAUUGAUAAUUUACCGCCUUGCAGUUAUCAAGUCGCAAUUUCGCGGCGUUUCAUCGCCAGCCAACAGAACCAACUAGUUGGUCUAGCCGAGAGACGUAUGGAGAUUAAAAUUUUCAGAACGAUUUCCUUUCCGGGCUAUGUAUCUUCGCGUUUCUGCCGGUCGCUUGCACCGUUUCGCUAGUUUCCGGAAAAAAAGAAGGGAAAAUGUUCCACAAUCGACCGAGCAGGUAUCGUUUUCUCGCAGGUGCGCGCGAUGGUAUCGUAGAUCGGUGCUCGUAACUUUGUCAGAAACUGCCUAUCGAGAAUAACAGAAGGCAACUCGGUGGCCUUUGAAGCAUAGUUGCAGGUGAGAUUUCCAUUGAUCUUGUAGCUGCCUGCUGCUACGUUUCACCGGUAUCAUUAGUCAGUUUUAUGGACUAAAUCGUGACAGAGAGGAAACCGGUACGGCCGUGGCACUUUGGUCCGGAGAUCGCGACCGAUCGCCAUAGGAAUUCGACCAGCCAGCGAUUUACUGUUUCUCAUCGCGAAAUAUUAUCAAUAGCGUUCUACACGCCGACCGUUCUUUACCGAUUCGUUCGGAUAAUGUCAAGGUAAUUGCUGAUCGAAGGAUAGGCAUCGUUCGCUCUCUAGCUUCUUCCUUUCCAUCGCCUUUGCCUCGCAACGAUUAUCCUUAUCCUCUUCGAGAUAACGCGUGAACGAUAAUUAACUGUGGCGCGUACGUUUCCGUAUAGUUGACAUUUUCAAUGGUCCGAGUACCAAAAUGGUCGGCAUUUGGAAUUUAAUCGAUAAAUUAGAACGAUUAUGAAAUCCACUCGACAUCGACAUCUGUCAACGAGAAAUGGCUGGAAAUGGCGACGAAAGACGAGAAAAUUCCAGGAAAGGAUGUAUCAACGUCAUCAUCGGAGCAUCGUUUAUGAUAUUCGCUGAAACCAGACUGCUCUCAACUCAGAUCCACGUUUCUUCGAUCCACGUUACAUCCAGUAGCCGAACGUUAAUGUAGCAGAGUUCCUGCUAAGUUUUCUCGUUGAUCGAGUGGCUGACAUUAUCGAGGGGUGAUGUGGUAAUUCGCCGAGCCUGCUAUUAAUGACGCGUAGCCAAUUUACCAUUGCAGGCUGCCAUGACGAUUGCAAGGUGACCAGUGACGUCGAGGUCCGUUACUUUCGUUCUAACGAUAUCUCGUUGCACUAACGACAGGAAAUUCUUCCCAUCUUUUCUUCCAGUCUAUGGGAGGGAAGACGCGCUUCGCGUCAUCCACGAUGAAUUAGUCAACUGGCAAGAACGUGUUGCUGGCUGAUUGCUGCCUCGGUUAGCGGCGAGAUAACUCUCUCGUUGUCAGCGUGUUAUCGACUUGUAAUUCGACGGUGGUCUGUUAACGCGAUCGGUCUUCGCUUCGCUGUGUUUUCCAACUUAUCUUUCCCAGAACUCGAAUCUUUUCUACCGUCGCUUUUCAUCAGAAAAAUCGCGAAAAAAUAGGAAAACAGACACCUAUGCUCCGCCGUAUAAUCUUUUACUUUUAUCCUCGUACGCACUCCGACAACAAUUCCAAGAAUUAAUUAGCAAACAGGUAGUCACAAGGUCUAAAUAACCACGACACCAUGCGUGUGGUCGUACCAAGAGUACAACCAUAGUAAAACCCGAAGAAAGCGGAUCCAUCGCUGUUAAACGCACGUUACCAUCGAAACCAAAAAUUGGAUGUUUCCUACGAAGCUAACAACACCGAUGGAAAUUAACGAGGCAGCACCAACGACCAGAGGAUAACAUCUGAAUUCCGAAAUGGGAAUUGCUAUCGAGCGAUCGACGAAUCGAUGACAGUUGCGAAUCGACGUCGCACGUUCUGCGAAUCUCUACGAAUUUUCUGAAAAGCGAAGCGUCGUUUCUCGCGAGUCUGAUCCGUCCACCAGUUCGACAACGUCGUACAGCGACUUAGCGAACGUUGCUUUAGCAAAUUUCAAAAGUAAAAAGAGAUACAAGAGCGGUAAUUGAAAAGGAAAAGAAAAGAAACAUCGAGACAAGGAGAAAUCGUACAACGAAAGAAACUAUCACGAUUUCACGAUGAAGUCGAUGUCCAUGUGCCGAGUGGGAGUUCCAGGAAAGCCCCCGACGUAUAAAUAUUCUAAUUAAGCGCAUAAUUAGCGAACAGCGAUGAAUUAUCGUAAACGGCGGCCAAACGUAUUUUCAUACGUUAUCGCGGCAACAAUAUCUUGUCCCGAUAUCUCUUUAUCGCUUUAAUUAAGCCGAACUACUUGGAACACGCCUGUCGCAAAACGUACAGCCGCUGACUCGAUCAUAGCAACUCGCUUAAUUGACUCAUUCUUGACUAUCGCCACUAGGAACACAGUUGCGAUCGAACGUUAUUCGAUUUGGCUGGCUAGAUAUCUGAUAACCACGUCUGUUCGUGCAUUUGCAAGUUUGUAAGGUUUAAACGAAGGCCAUUCGGAGAGAACAUUAUCUCGUUGUUUAAAGGUUAAGCAAAAUAGCGAAGAGGGAAGUGAAAAUGCAACUUGUGUGGUAUUAAUGGAGAGCGUAAAUUUUAAUUGGAAUUAAUGUGGCUGCAAGGUAUUUCUAUCGUUAUUUUUCCUUUUCCUUCUCUAUUUUUUUUUUUUUUUUUUCUUUGGUGCGUGAAACCUGGCUCGAUGAGAAUUAUUGCGCAGGUGUCUUUGGAAAAUCUGUUUCGUAACGCUGGCGAUUUCAGUAUAACGAAAAAUGAUAGCAGUCAGCGUAUUUUCGCGUUAAGUUGUUUCCACAUCGAGUUUCUUUCUUUAUUCUCAAGUAUUCGCAAUUGUAUUUAUAAGAGAAGCUAUUUCCAAUUAUAUCUAAAAUGUUAAAUACAAGUAUUGUUUGUGAAUUGUCCUCUUUUAAAUAUUCGGUACAUUUUGCGUCUUAUUCGAUAAUUUACAAUUACCAUAUGUCGUGCGAGUCGAUGAACUUUGUUCGUUACGAACAAGCUUUCAAAAUCUCUUGAAGUUAGUUGCGGUAUUAUCUUUCGUUUGUACGACGUAUCCACACCGUACCCUUUGUCGCGAAUUCUAAGUGUGACACGAGCAACGACUCUAAUUAUUCAGGAAUGAAAACUGUCCGCAAUGGCCCGACUCAUGACAUUUCAAACAGCAUAAAAUGAAGUACGAGCGAGCAGUCUUAUGUAAAAUUCAUCGAUAUCGUUCGAUGCGCACCAAAUAUUUUAACCUCGUUAAAGUUUACUGUUUAGAAAACGAGAUGCUCAAAUUCUUUCCGUACGCUUUAUGAAUAAUCGCUGGUAGAACAACGUGUAAACUUCGCCGAUAGUAUCAGAACUAAAUCAGAACGAGCAUCGUGCGUUUAUAAAUUGUUACAUUAAAAAAAAAAAUGCUUUAGUCUAACAGUUUCGACGCUAAUUCGAUUAACAGGUUGACUGCAGCUCGAAUUUUCUGUAUUUUAUUUUGCCAGCCGCGACACAUCGAAGUAUAUUGUACCACAACGUUUCAAGUAGUAGCAGCAGCAGCAGCAGCAGCAGCAGCUUGAAAGAGGAAUAAGGCAGAAACAGAAGAGAAACGCGUGCAAUGGACGGCGCUCCAAUUAAUGGGCCGGUCCAAGGCGGUCUCAGAAAAAAACGUCAUCGAGUUCUAUUUACGAGCUGUUCUUUAAAAUCGCGUUAGUCGAAGCCCGUGGCACGGACACCAUUGACGGCAACCAUACGCUUCUUGGGGCCUGAUAUGAUGAGAGCCGCCUUAUAAGGGUUACAACCGGUGUUUAAAGUCACCAGCGGCGCGGCUUUCACCAAUUUAAAGUCAGAUUGCGACCCACCCGGCUUCUAAUCGCCUCUCAUCUAUACACACAGAGAAUCGUACGGCCGUAAUCGAUCCGCCGAUUUCGCCUUGUAGCCGAGAAGACGACUGUGAUUCGUUGCUUUGCUAUUGUGUCGUUCUAAUUGGCCUGGUUCUUUAAUCAGAUCGAUCCUUUUAAUUAACUCGUUGUUGGGACGCUUACAGAGAACGAGCUGAAAGUAACGAAUAAAAGGCGAAAGCCUCGGAAUUCCUGCCUUUGGAUACGAACGAUUUAUGUAUUUUAGAAGCCAUUGACGAAUGUCCAUAGUUCAAGAGAAGAGAACGAAUCUACACGUUAGAAGAAAUAAGAAGCUUCGUACGAACAUACGUGACAGAUGCGAUUAACCUUGCGAAUUUGAACAAAAAUGUCUAAUCUGUCGGCUGGGAAAAUCUAGAAACAUCAAGAGGAAAAUAAUCGAGACACGCGAUAUAUAUUGUGCAAUUUCGGUCGUUCGAUCACGAAAAAUUUGAUUAUCCGAUUUCUCGGUGAUUAAGCGGUUCAAGGUCCUAUUGUACAUUCAUUGGCAGGAGAAAGAAAAGUAUCGAAGAACGUGGUGAAAUCUCGGAACGAUGCAUUCGCCCCGGUUGGUCCCGGAAUUUUUCAACGACAUCCGCGGCCCAUUGUGGUUGACUAAUAUACCGCUACAGCGCGUUAACCUUCCAAAGGUAGGAGGAAGGUGCGCCACACCCCCGUCUCUCUUUCGCCGUGAACCACGAGAGCAACGAGAGAUACAGCAACAAUGGCCUCCGUAGAUGGAAGAUUGCACGGAAAGGUGCAACGUUCACGUGCAAAGGUCGCCACGGUUGAAUCGGGUAAACGAGGAUAAUGUCGUGGCCCGACUAUCAUAGGUGAAUUUUAUUGCCGUGAAAAAGAAGGCUUGCCGCAUCUUAGACGCGUCUGCAUGCGAGAUCUGCUCGGACCGUGAGCCUAUUGUCCGCGAAUAGAAAGAAAGUCUUUCGUGCAACGCUGGGAUCUAAAUCGGUCGAGAACGUUGUGUGCGAAUUGCGAGGUCGUUUUUCUUUUCCCUUUUUUUUUUUAUUUUUUUUUUUUUU
This is a long non-coding RNA of Bombus huntii, 6417 nucleotides long. RefSeq lists it as uncharacterized. The record is from RefSeq and is a predicted model, not a curated record. Lineage: Eukaryota; Metazoa; Arthropoda; Insecta; Hymenoptera; Apidae. The transcript has 2 exons.